This 492-nucleotide ribosomal RNA is filed under the name uncultured bacterium. RNAcentral describes it as "partial 16S ribosomal RNA". It matches the Rfam family "Bacterial small subunit ribosomal RNA", at positions 29 to 507 of the family's 1533-position model. The record is from RNAcentral.
AGUGAACGCUGGCGGUAGGCCUAACACAUGCAAGUCGAACGGCAGCACAGUAAGAGCUUGCUCUUACGGGUGGCGAGUGGCGGACGGGUGAGGAAUACAUCGGAAUCUACUUUUUCGUGGGGGAUAACGUAGGGAAACUUACGCUCAUACCGCAUACGACCUACGGGUGAAAGCAGGGGAUCUUCGGACCUUGCGCGAUUGAAUGAGCCGAUGUCGGAUUAGCUAGUUGGCGGGGUAAAGGCCCACCAAGGCGACGAUCCGUAGCUGGACUGAGAGGAUGAUCAGCCACACUGGAACUGAGACACGGUCAAGACUCCUACGGGAGGCAGCAGUGGGGAAUAUUGGACAAUGGGCGGAAGCCUGAUCCAGCCAUACCGCGUGGGUGAAGAAGGCCUUCGGGUUGUAAAGCCCUUCUGUUGGGAAUGAAAAGCAGCAGGUUAAUACCCAGCUGUUCUGACGGUACCCAAAGAAGAAGCACCGGCUAACUUCGUG